CGAGCGUGACAUUUUCAUCGGACUUAAACCAAAUAUUACGUAAAAUUUAGCCCAAAUGUACUAAACUUUUUGUUUCUUGACAAAUACAAAAAUUAUAUAGUUUCUGAAUACAUUUUCAUGAAUGGGGGGACUAGGUACGACACACCCGAUUUACUUCCAUACGAAAACCCCCUCGCUCGCAUAGAUAAGUCGAUAAAAAUAAAGUUAGAUACCUAACGUAUAGCAACGUCGCGUAGCUAAGCUUCGCGGACCACUCGGAAUGCCUCCAGAGACCACCAGUGGUCCGCGGACCACCGGUUAAGAACCACUGUGCUAAACGAUCGUUCUAUUGUACAGGUUGUACAUAGCUGGGCAAGCCAAAUAGCCAGCGCGGUUUUUACACUAGGAUAAAAUUGCAUUUCCGAAAUUUUGAUCACAUCUACCAGUUCCAUCUCCUUCAAUGCAUUAUUUUUUGAAUUAGAUGGACGGCUCGGCUCGCUACUUCACAUAGCACCUAUUCUUUUAGGGAAUAAGGCUCGCUUUCAAAUGACGCGCGCACAUUUUGUUUUGAUCGCGCUCUUUUCAAAGUCGACAAUUUUUUUGUGUAAUAAUUUACGGAUAGUACAUAUGAUUGUUGAUGUUGUUAGUUAGAGUUAGUAAAAAAAACAUUGUUUAAUCAGACACCUUAUAGGUCAGAGCCAGGGCCCAGGGUGGGGCAAGUGCCCCAGCUUGCCCCAGUGUGGCUACGCCCAUGGAUGUAGGUGGUAGGUAUGUACAUAAGUAAAAGAAUGACGCAAACUCAUAGAUGUACAUAGAUACAAAAAAAUACUUCGACUGUAGGGUAAACUGGGUACGGUUGUGCCAGGGUACGGUAGUGACAGUCGCAGUUGUAACGAAACUAUACGUAAAACGGGGGAGGUUGUGAGGGAGAAAGACGUGGCUCACAAGCCUAAACACGUUCCCCAGUAUUGCGUUAGCCGGCGCACGACGUUGACGUAAGCAGGAGCCCACAUUGCUUUUCAACAAUCAAAAAUGUCCAGGAUACGUUUGCGGAAGACCGAAAGAGCGCAGUGUGAUAUCAAAAAAUAAAAAGAUGCCGAUGAAGAAGUGAAACAAGGGAUUUCGUACGUGUAGCUCAAGCUACAAGCCUUUCUACAGCUACAAGUUUGAACAGAGCAAAUGUUGUUUUGUUGAUUGUUAAAACUAUGUUUGUAAGCUUAUUAUGUUAAACAUUUCUACAAUAAAAGAUAUUAUAGACCA
Long non-coding RNA from Helicoverpa armigera (cotton bollworm), 1239 nucleotides. RefSeq lists it as uncharacterized. Lineage: Eukaryota; Metazoa; Arthropoda; Insecta; Lepidoptera; Noctuidae. The transcript has 2 exons. The record is from RefSeq and is a predicted model, not a curated record.